AAUAGAUACCCCGGUAGUCCACGCCCUAAACGAUGUCUACUAGUUGUCGGGGAUUAAUUUCCUUGGUAACGCAGCUAACGCGGGAAGUAGACCGCCUGGGGAGUACGGUCGCAAGAUUAAAACUCAAAGGAAUUGACGGGGACCCGCACAAGCGGUGGAUGAUGUGGAUUAAUUCGAUGCAACGCGAAAAACCUUACCUACGCUUGACAUGUCCGGAAUCCUGCAGAGAUGUGGGAGUGCCCGAAAGGGAGCCGGAACACAGGUGCUGCAUGGCUGUCGUCAGCUCGUGUCGUGAGAUGUUGGGUUAAGUCCCGCAACGAGCGCAACCCUUAUCAUUAGUUGCUACGCAAGGGCACUCUAAUGAGACUGCCGGUGACAAACCGGAGGAAGGUGGGGAUGACGUCAAGUCCUCAUGGCCCUUAUGCGUAGGGCUUCACACGUCAUACAAUGGUCGGUACAGAGGGCUGCCAACCCGGCGAGGGGGGAGCCAAUCCCGACAAAAACCCGAUCGUAGUCCGGAUUGCAGUCUGCAA
Molecule: ribosomal RNA, 533 nt
Filed under: uncultured bacterium
Lineage: Bacteria
Description: bacterial SSU rRNA
Rfam family: Bacterial small subunit ribosomal RNA
Source: RNAcentral